RNAcentral lists this ribosomal RNA (278 nucleotides) under uncultured prokaryote. RNAcentral describes it as "partial 16S ribosomal RNA". It matches the Rfam family "Bacterial small subunit ribosomal RNA", at positions 524 to 801 of the family's 1533-position model. The record is from RNAcentral.
CACGGGGGUUGCGAGCGUUGUCCGGAAUUACUAGGCGUAAAGGGCAGGCAGGCGGAUCCAUAAGUUUAUCGUUUAAGGCGUCGGCUUAACCGGCGUAGGGCGGUAGAUACUGUGGAUCUGGAAUGCGGUUGGGGAAGACAGAAUUCCUGGUGUAUCGGUGGAAUGCGCAGAGAUCAGGAGGAAUACCGAAGGCGAAGGCAGUCUUCCAAGCCGUUAUUGACGCUCAACUGCGAAGGUGUGGGUAUCAAACAGGAUUAGAUACCCCCGUAGUCCCUGAG